UUCAAGAUGUAUUUUUCAAAUUCCUCGUUUUUGAUCUUCCGUCAAAUAUUCUGAGCUAUAUAGUUUAAAAAAAGAUUUUAAAUCAUAUAAUACAUAUGUUUCGAAGACUGUUUCGGAAGACACCACUCUUUUUCAUCAGCGGAAGUUUCUUUUUCAAUAAUGAAAAAGAUGGUAAAUCGGACAACCUACAUUUCUGCAGCCAUUGGGUUAUAAAUUAAAGAGCGAUGCGUGCUUUUCAGCAUUUUCAUAAGGGCUAUGCUUUUCAGAAUAUAACUCUUGGGUGCCAAGCGAAAAGAGUUUAAUGAAUCGACUUCAUAAAACUUUUCGAUCACUUUAAAUGCCGCUUUUCCGACUAUGUCGUGUGUCAAGAAGUUAUUUUUAACACUCUUGAAUAAAUGUACGUAAUCGCA
This 410-nucleotide small RNA is filed under the name Drosophila pseudoobscura pseudoobscura. RNAcentral describes it as "GA30608". Lineage: Eukaryota; Metazoa; Arthropoda; Insecta; Diptera; Drosophilidae. The record is from RNAcentral.